Molecule: long non-coding RNA, 730 nt
Organism: Jaculus jaculus (lesser Egyptian jerboa)
Lineage: Eukaryota; Metazoa; Chordata; Mammalia; Rodentia; Dipodidae
Exons: 4
Source: RefSeq, a predicted model, not a curated record
AUUUGUGCUUCUUUCUUCUAUACUUUGUUUGUCCUCAUAAAUAAUCCACCCCAAAUUCCAUCUCUGGACCUGCUUCAGAGAAUCCAGCUUGUGCAAAGUCUAAAAGCACAAUUAAAGGGUUGCCUUUCUGUGAUCAUCCCUCUUGGGUUUACAUUAGUUCUCUGUGAUCCCUGGAUGUCCCUGACUCAGUGCCCACUAUUGUUUGCUGUGGAAAAAGACAAGAUUCUUGGAAAGGAGAUAACCUCCAGAAAGACUUUAGAUGUCACUUGGAAGAGAGAGAGCUGAGAAACAAAAUGAAAGUGGCCUUGAUCCCUGAAUUACCAUUUUGAAACGACUUGCCUGAUUAGGAAUAUCAGUACUAUAUGGCUAUGCCGGAUUUAUGAUAUUCUGCCUCACCACAGGACCAAAGAAAUUUGACCAAGUGACCAUGGACUGAAACCUGAAAUUACAGGACAAAAUAUGUUUCCUUUUUACAAAUUCUUUUAUCUUGGCUAUUUUAAAUAGCACCAUAAAGCUAUCAAAUACUAAGAUUGUGCAGAUCAACAUUUAAUUCCUACAUGUUCCUUUAUUUACUGUUGCAUUUUAAGAAAGUUUCUGAGUAUCUCUAAGCCUCAAUGUACAGAUCUGCAAAAUGAAAAUAAUAUUGAUGUUGCAGUCAGGUUCACAUUGCUGGCAGAAAUCACCCAACCAAAAGCAGCUUGUGGGGAAAAAUGCUUAUUUUGGCUUACAG